RNAcentral lists this small RNA (2313 nucleotides) under Histoplasma capsulatum var. duboisii H88. Its description in RNAcentral is "Histoplasma capsulatum H88 hypothetical RNA". Lineage: Eukaryota; Fungi; Ascomycota; Eurotiomycetes; Onygenales; Ajellomycetaceae. The record is from RNAcentral.
CCUCUGUACCAGCUCUACCCCUUACUUAUAUCCAGGCACAUCAGUAUUCUUCAGGACAUGUGCCACAACUUCAACCAUCUCAACCACCUUCUCCUCCUCCAGUCUCUUCCCGACCAGUUGCAGUGAAACAGGGGCUCCAUGGUAGAACUCAGGAUCAUAAUCCGCCUGUAUCAUUUCAUCUCUUGAAUCCAGCGGUACCCAGCCCUCACCGCGUGGAUGAUCGAUCGACUUGUCUGCAUAAGUUACCGGGAAUACACAAGCGCAAUAAUCUACAUGGUUAUUAGCUACUUUUCCUGAUACUGUAUCUUUCUUAGGAGAAAAAGGGGAGAUCCCAAGUUCUCCGCUUACCCAGCAAAUUCACGAAUCCAGUAUAUCCGAUAUAGUCCACCGACUCCCCCUGACCUAGACGGGGCGCACCUGAGGGGGCAACUGGGGCAAUUAUAGCAUCAAUGGGCCCGCCCGAAUCUGUCCUCGUUGCCAUCCACCGGUCGAGGAAAUCCUUUUGGAGCUGGUUUCGCUCCACGAUCAUCCGCCGCAAUUUCGCGGGAUCUAACUUUUCAGUCUUGUUCUUGUAUGCGCUGAAAGCCCGCUCCAUGGAGCCGAACAGUGGCUCCUUGUAUUCUUCUAAUAAUGGCAUGAUAGCAUCAGAUCCUAAUUCAUCAAAGGAUUCGUUGAGCAGUGAAACGAUCUCCCUGUGGCCAAUUGGUUCCCUGGAGCAGAGAGUCGUUAGCUUUAGCGUGCCAGUGACAAUGCUAGGUAUACGUGUACCAAAGCCACUCACCAGGUUAUCACAUCAUGUCCCGCAGCCUUCAAGGCGUUGCUAACGGUCGUCAACGCCCGCUCUACGGGUGGAUGGCAAGUUAUCACCCCGUCACUAGGUCCAAGGAUACCAAAUCGUAGCUUACGCCCCUUUGGCUGAAUAACGUCCUUUCGCCAUGGCAUGGGUAUGAUCUUCGGGUCCAGGUUCCAGGGCGCAGCGGUCUCGGAGAGAACCGAUUCACAAAACAACUUGACGGCGCCGAGUGAACUGGACAUCGGCCCGCAGACAGCAUAUACGAAGUCCUGGCCUGCUAUACUAGGCCUACCUCCUAAAGUCGAGAAGCGUCCGAAUGAUGGCUUGAGGCCAUAGAGCUGGCAGAAAGCGCUUGGGAUGCGGAUGCUACCGGCAAUAUCUGUUCCAACGCCCAACGGUGACGCUUUCAUUGCGAGAAGAGCUCCCUCACCACCACUGGAUCCUCCUGGAGUUAGCCCCUUGUGGAUAGGGUUUCUGGUUUCGCCCCAGACCCGAUUAGUAGUUUCUCCCAUCAUCAUAGCUGUGGGGACGUUGGUUUUCACGUAAAAGACUGCACCCAGGUCUCGAAGCAUGGUUACGAGGACGGAGUCCUUCUCGGUGGGAACGUUCGCAUGCACCGCCAUACCGAUUGAUGAUGGAUGAGGACAAGUGACAAAAUUGUCUUUCAGAGAUAGCGGCAAACCGUGGAGUGGCCCUAUGACAGACCCAGUGCGUUCCAGGUAUUCAUCGAGAUACUUUGCCCUCUCCAGGCCUUCAUUGAACAGGACUUCCGUUACACAGUUCGUCUAAGAAUAGGAUAUUAGUAUUUUUUUUUCUUUUUUUUUUCUUUUUUGCAAGGGUAAAGCUUAUCGCUGGGAUGGUCAACGUACAAGUUUUUGCGCAAUCACAGUCGCCCGGCAGAAUGCAUUUGUUACAUCGACAGAGGUCAACUUUCUCUCUCUUAUCUUUUGCAGAAGGGUUUCGGCAUCGGAAUCGAUGAUUUCUAGCUCCUCCGGUGAAAGGAGUCCCGAGGUUUUUGGGAACGAUCUCAGGUCCUGAGGGAGGCUGUCCUCUGCAAUAUCAGUGAGCGGGAAGAAGGCCGACAGCGAGUCAUUUCGCCGUUUCUGCACGAUAGCUGAGAUUUCCUUAUAUGUUUGGCCCAUUUUUGGUUCCAACGAAAUCCAGUAGUUAGUUACUUAGUAGUUAACGCGGGAUGAAAUAUGUUUCUUAUCAAGCAGACAAGCCACGUCCUUUUGUAUAUAAAGAUUGCCGGAAAGGGACUGAGGGGCAAUUGGUGGGUGGGACAGGUAACAAGGCUUGCUCGGAUGACCAGCUGCAGAACGUGGCGCAAUCUUUUCGGGAUUGUAUUGUAUAAGUCUCUCGAAUGAGCGUUGCUGGAUAGAAGCCGAAAUCAUUACCGCAAUAUAGGAUCUAAAAUAACCUCGGGCAUGGCACAACCAAGAUCAUUCUGAGGAAAACCUUCGGGAUCAGUUCCAAGGCAAAAUGCCGAUUCGACACCAGGAUUGAGGAAACAAGGCGAG